AGUGAACCAGUACCGUGAGGGAAAGGCGAAAAGAACCCCUGUAAGGGGAGUGAAAUAGAACCUGAAACCGUGUACGUACAAGCAGUAGGAGCCCACCACCAAAUAUCUUUGUUGGGGUUCUUUAACAUCGACCUGCGAAGCAGCCGAUGGUAAAAGACGUCCUGAGAAAUAGAACCUAGGUGGUUCAAAUAGCAGAGCUAUUUGGGGUGGGUGACUGCGUACCUUUUGUAUAAUGGGUCAGCGACUUAUAUUCUGUAGCGAGGUUAACCGAAUAGGGUAGCCGUAGCGAAAGCGAGUCUUAA
Molecule: non-coding RNA, 302 nt
Filed under: Pseudoalteromonas luteoviolacea B = ATCC 29581
Lineage: Bacteria; Pseudomonadati; Pseudomonadota; Gammaproteobacteria; Alteromonadales; Pseudoalteromonadaceae
Description: LSU rRNA
Rfam family: Bacterial large subunit ribosomal RNA
Source: RNAcentral